GCCGAAGUGGCGGAAUUGGUAGACGCGCUAGGUUCAGGGUCUAGUGGGUGUAUGCCCGUCAGGGUUCGAGUCCCUGCUUCGGCACCA
RNAcentral lists this transfer RNA (87 nucleotides) under Syntrophaceae bacterium. RNAcentral's name for it is "tRNA-Leu". It matches the Rfam family "tRNA". From Rfam's summary of the family: Transfer RNA (tRNA) molecules are approximately 80 nucleotides in length. Their secondary structure includes four short double-helical elements and three loops (D, anti-codon, and T loops). Further hydrogen bonds mediate the characteristic L-shaped molecular structure. tRNAs have two regions of fundamental functional importance: the anti-codon, which is responsible for specific mRNA codon recognition, and the 3' end, to which the tRNAs corresponding amino acid is attached (by aminoacyl-tRNA synthetases). tRNAs cope with the degeneracy of the genetic code in two manners: having more than one tRNA (with a specific anti-codon) for a particular amino acid; and 'wobble' base-pairing, i.e. permitting non-standard base-pairing at the 3rd anti-codon position. Lineage: Bacteria; Pseudomonadati; Thermodesulfobacteriota; Syntrophia; Syntrophales; Syntrophaceae. The record is from RNAcentral.